This 484-nucleotide ribosomal RNA is filed under the name uncultured bacterium. RNAcentral describes it as "partial 16S ribosomal RNA". It matches the Rfam family "Bacterial small subunit ribosomal RNA", at positions 29 to 507 of the family's 1533-position model. The record is from RNAcentral.
AUUGAACGCUGGCGGCAUGCUUUACACAUGCAAGUCGAACGGCAGCCCGGGCUUCGGCCUGGCGGCGAGUGGCGAACGGGUGAGUAAUACAUCGGAACGUGCCCAGUAGUGGGGGAUAGCUCGGCGAAAGCCGGAUUAAUACCGCAUACGACCUGAGGGUGAAAGCGGGGGAUCUUCGGACCUCGCGCUAUUGGAGCGGCCGAUGGCAGAUUAGCUAGUUGGUGGGGUAAAGGCCUACCAAGGCGACGAUCUGUAGCUGGUCUGAGAGGACGACCAGCCACACUGGGACUGAGACACGGCCCAGACUCCUACGGGAGGCAGCAGUGGGGAAUUUUGGACAAUGGGCGAAAGCCUGAUCCAGCAAUGCCGCGUGUGUGAUGAAGGCCUUCGGGUUGUAAAGCACUUUUGGCGGGAACGAAAAGGACUGUGCCAAUACCACGGUUCGAUGACGGUACCCGCAGAAUAAGCACCGGCUAACUACGUG